This 408-nucleotide ribosomal RNA is filed under the name uncultured bacterium. Its description in RNAcentral is "partial 16S ribosomal RNA". It matches the Rfam family "Bacterial small subunit ribosomal RNA", at positions 28 to 526 of the family's 1533-position model. The record is from RNAcentral.
GACGAACGCUGGCGGCGUGCUUAACACAUGCAAGUCGAACGAAGUGGCGAACGGGUGAGUAACGCGUAAUCAACCUGCCCUUCAGAGGGGGACACCAGUUGGAAACGACUGCUAAUACCCCAUACUGAUGGAGGGGUUUGCGUGUGAUUAGCUAGUUGGAGGGGUAACGGCCCACCAAGGCGAAGGUCAGUAGCCUGUCUGAGGGGAUGAACGGCCACAAUGGGACUGAGACACCGCCCAGACUCCUACGGGGAGCAGCAGUGGGGAAUCUUCCGCAAUGGACGAAAGUCUGACGGAGCAACGCCGGGUGGGUGAUGGCGGCCUUCGGGUUGGAAAGCUCUGUUAAUCGGGACGCGGUACCGGAAUAGAAAGCCACGGCUAACUACGUGCCAGCAGCCGCGGUAAUAC